Molecule: long non-coding RNA, 628 nt
Organism: Triticum aestivum (bread wheat)
Lineage: Eukaryota; Viridiplantae; Streptophyta; Magnoliopsida; Poales; Poaceae
Exons: 3
Source: RefSeq, a predicted model, not a curated record
UUCUAUAUGAAGACGGGGUUUUGUAAGUUUACUGAAAGAUGCAAGUUUCACCAUCCAGUUGAUUGGUCUGCACCUGAUUGCAUUGCAAAAUGGAAGGAGAGAGUUCCAAAUACACGGAGCUGGCUCAAUUGUACGAGAAGUACAAGGACCUGGGUUUUGAGAAUUGAGAUCUUUGAUUUCCCAUGCAACCAGUUUGGUGGGUAGGUACCAGCUGGCACUAAUGAGGAAUAUUUGCGCUCGUAAGUCCGAGUAUCCGAUUUUUGACAAGGCAAAUGCGUGCUUGAUACUUCAUCCUUCCUUUGUUUUGUUGGUCUCUCUGUUUCAAGCUGAAAGAAACAAUUGCUUCAGUGUACAAUGUACACUACGACUGCUUCCAUGAACAGUUAUUAUAAUGAUGUUUGCCCGGGCACUUCUGUUGUCUGCACCCCGUCCCACUGAGGUAACAGCAGCUGGAUUGUAUUCAUCCAGCGCACAAUCAGUUCUCUGUAUUGCCAAAUCAAUCAAUCCAACAAGGGUAUGGAGGGAUCCUUCACAAUUUCAUCUAGAUCCGCCCAUGUAUGUGUUAGUGUUCAAGAUCACUGAGGUUAUUUUUGUCGUACUAUCAGGAACUUGUUAAUCGGUGGCACUC